Long non-coding RNA from Hyla sarda, 647 nucleotides. RefSeq lists it as uncharacterized. The record is from RefSeq and is a predicted model, not a curated record. The transcript has 3 exons. Lineage: Eukaryota; Metazoa; Chordata; Amphibia; Anura; Hylidae.
CUAUUUAAAUGCAUUGUUUAUAUUGUGUAUGCAUUGUCAAUAUGUAUAAAGUUUGUACAAAUGUAUAAAAGUGUUAGUCAUGUGAACCACUGUCAUGUGACAUACCCAGAGUUCCUUGGGUGCAGAACCUACAGGCUUAGCAACCAAUGUGCUUUAGUCCAGCCCCCUAGUAUAUAAGGGGCUGUAGUCGCUCAGUUAGCUCUCUUGUUCCUGCACUCUCUUAUCUCCUGGACCUAAAGCAAGUAUAAAGUCCUGUAUACUGCAAAUUCAUCUCAUCUAGGCCAAAGCCUAAAGAAAUGCAGCCACUUCUAAAACGUGAAGAAGAAGUAGGGCAAUGUCCAGACUAUGGUUGGCAUAAGGACCCGAGAGCAAUGAGAACUGUGUCGCGUAUGAUCGGUAUAUAACCACCUACGUGAGGUGACGUUGUCACUCUGAAGACGUGUCAGUAACAACAACUAUGCAAUGGAUCCCCCAGCAGAUGUGGCAGGUAUAAUGGGUAUACCACCGUCUAUGUGUCGUGAAGUUGUCGCUCUGAAGACGUGUCAGUAACAAGAACUGAACAUUGCAUCCUCCUGCAGACGUGGCAGGUACAAAGGAUACACCACCACCUAUGUGUCGAUAUGUUGAUGCUCUGAAUAUGUGUCAGU